AGGGGUAUAGCUCAGCUGGUAGAGCAGCGGUCUCCAAAACCGCGUGUCACGAGUUCGAUCCUUGUUGCCCCUGCCA
RNAcentral lists this transfer RNA (76 nucleotides) under Ruminococcus sp. YE71. RNAcentral's name for it is "tRNA_Trp_CCA". It matches the Rfam family "tRNA". Rfam says of the family: Transfer RNA (tRNA) molecules are approximately 80 nucleotides in length. Their secondary structure includes four short double-helical elements and three loops (D, anti-codon, and T loops). The record is from RNAcentral. RNAcentral also lists the same sequence under 2 other names. Lineage: Bacteria; Bacillati; Bacillota; Clostridia; Eubacteriales; Oscillospiraceae.